Molecule: long non-coding RNA, 657 nt
Filed under: Vombatus ursinus (common wombat)
Lineage: Eukaryota; Metazoa; Chordata; Mammalia; Diprotodontia; Vombatidae
Description: lncRNA (ENSVURG00010017633.1)
Source: RNAcentral
CAGCGAAAGAGGGCUUUGGCUAUCAUUACUUUUCAUCCUUGAAGUCUCCAGCAAAGUCUCAUUCCCCUGCAGGCCUUGCCCCUUCCAUUUCCUUCUCACCUGUCCUCUUUUUCACCCUCUUCUCUUUGCUCUUCAUGCUUGCUGUCCCCCAGGACUCUGAGGAGGAAGUCCAGUAGGGUCAAAGGCUUCUCACCAGGCCUCUCACCAGCCCCUCAUCUGGCCCUGUACACCUGUAACACCCCUGAAUCCUCCUCAGGGUACUUCUCUGAGGAUGACUCUGCAGGGCACUCCGUUAUCCACCAGCCUGGCUCUGCAUCCACCUCCAAUAAUGGUGCCUCCCAAGUUGGCAUCUUUAACUGGAUGGCAAUAUACAUUUCAGGUUGGCUCUUUGCAGCAUUCCAGUGGUGCCUGGGAAACGCCUGGCACUGCCUGACCACAGCUGCCUCCCUCCAGGAUUUCUUUCUGUUAAUCAGGAGCUCUCCCCUCAAUAGUUCCUGCCUCUGAUCACAACUGAGUCUGGAGCUUUUUCACUCGGAAGAAGUUGCUCCUCUUUGUCUUGGGGAUGCUGUUCUUUGUGGCUUCGCUGGCUUAUGGUGAGCCUUGUGGAGUGCCCAGGUCGGCCACUCCAGAUGGGGGCGAAGGACAAGGGUUUGGGGA